UUUACUCAUGGAGCUGAAGUCAGUCGAAGAUACCAGCUGGCUGCAACUGUUUAUUAAAAACACAGCACUGUGCAAACACGAAAGUGGACGUAUACGGUGUGACGCCUGCCCGGUGCCGGAAGGUUAAUUGAUGGGGUCAGCGCAAGCGAAGCUCCUGAUCGAAGCCCCGGUAAACGGCGGCCGUAACUAUAACGGUCCUAAGGUAGCGAAAUUCCUUGUCGGGUAAGUUCCGACCUGCACGAAUGGCGUAAUGAUGGCCAGGCUGUCUCCACCCGAGACUCAGUGAAAUUGAACUCGCUGUGAAGAUGCAGUGUACCCGCGGCAAGACGGAAAGACCCCGUGAACCUUUACUAUAGCUUGACACUGAACAUUGAGCCUUGAUGUGUAGGAUAGGUGGGAGGCUUUGAAGUGUGGACGCCAGUCUGCAUGGAGCCGACCUUGAAAUACCACCCUUUAAUGUUUGAUGUUCUAACGUGGACCCGUGAUCCGGGUUGCGGACAGUGUCUGGUGGGUAGUUUGACUGGGGCGGUCUCCUCCUAAAGAGUAACGGAGGAGCACGAAGGUUGGCUAAUCCUGGUCGGACAUCAGGAGGUUAGUGCAAUGGCAUAAGCCAGCUUGACUGCGAGCGUGACGGCGCGAGCAGGUGCGAAAGCAGGUCAUAGUGAUCCGGUGGUUCUGAAUGGAAGGGCCAUCGCUCAACGGAUAAAAGGUACUCCGGGGAUAACAGGCUGAUACCGCCCAAGAGUUCAUAUCGACGGCGGUGUUUGGCACCUCGAUGUCGGCUCAUCACAUCCUGGGGCUGAAGUAGGUCCCAAGGGUAUGGCUGUUCGCCAUUUAAAGUGGUACGCGAGCUGGGUUUAGAACGUCGUGAGACAGUUCGGUCCCUAUCUGCCGUGGGCGCUGGAGAACUGAGGGGGGCUGCUCCUAGUACGAGAGGACCGGAGUGGACGCAUCACUGGUGUUCGGGUUGUCAUGCCAAUGGCACUGCCCGGUAGCUAAAUGCGGAAGAGAUAAGUGCUGAAAGCAUCUAAGCACGAAACUUGCCCCGAGAUGAGUUCUCCCUGAGACUUUAGGUCUCCUGAAGGAACGUUGAAGACGACGACGUUGAUAGGCCGGGUGUGUAAGCGCAGCGAUGCGUUGAGCUAACCGGUACUAAUGAACCGUGAGGCUUAACCUUACAACGCCGAAG
RNAcentral lists this ribosomal RNA (1189 nucleotides) under Salmonella enterica. RNAcentral's name for it is "partial 23S ribosomal RNA". It matches the Rfam family "Bacterial large subunit ribosomal RNA", at positions 1756 to 2925 of the family's 2925-position model. Lineage: Bacteria; Pseudomonadati; Pseudomonadota; Gammaproteobacteria; Enterobacterales; Enterobacteriaceae. The record is from RNAcentral.